AUGGCGGCAGUCACAGUGGCCGCAGAAUGGCAGCUCCUCCACAAUCGCUACUACCGGAAACCAGAACUUUACCAGAUGCAAUGGAAGAACGUGGACCUCACGCGCAACAAAGUUGCUUGCGCUCCUUUCGGCGGUCCAAUCGCUGUCAUCCGUGACGACGCUAAGAUCGUCCAACUCUACGCCGAUCCGCCCUUCGGAAGCUCCGUAUCUUCAAUUCUGCCGGCGUUCAGAUCUCCGAAACUAUCUGGAAGAAUCCCGGCGGCCGACUCAUCGGCAUGUCAUGGACCGAAGAUCAAACCCUAGUUUGCAUCACUCAGGAUGGCACCGUUUACCGUUACAACAUCCACGCCGAGCCUAUUGAACCGAAUUCUCAGCUCUCACUAGGCGCUGACUGUCUUACUCAUAGCGUAGUUGAAUGCAUCUUCUGGGUAAACGGUGUCGCCUGUAUCAAUGAGGCGUUUCAGGUUUACUGCAUACCCGAUUUCAACAACCCGAAACCAAUCAAAUUGGCGGAUACUGGUUUGGAGGAUUUUCCGUUAUGUACGGCUGUGAUCGAGCCGCAGUAUACUAUGUCUUGGAAUGUGGAGGUACUGAUGAGUGUGGCUGAUCACGUGUUGCUGGUGGAAGAGGAUGGCGUUCAACAAGUUGGGCUUGGAAUUGGGCCUCUACAGAAAAUGGUGGUUUCUCAGAAUGGGAAGCUUUUGGCAGCUUUUACACAUGAUGACAGGCUUCUUGUUGUGUCUACGGACUUCUCCAGCAUUAUUUUCGACUAUACUUUUGAGAAGUCAGCCCUACCCCCCGAGCAGCUAGCAUGGUGUGGAUUGGACAGUGUACUACUCUACUGGGAUGAUAAGCUUCUAAUGGUGGGUCCUGGAGAUCCUGUCAGCUAUUUCUAUGAUGAACCAGUUCUCCUUAUCCCUGAAUGUGACGGGGUUAGAAUACUCUCCAACAUGAGCAUGGAAUUUCUUCAUCGUGUUCCAGAUUCAACUGUCUCCAUAUUUCAGAUUGGUAGCACACUACCAGCUGCUUUGCUUUAUGAUGCCUUAGAUCAUUUUGACAGGCGGAGUGCCAAGGCUGAUGAGAAUCUGAGGUUGAUACGGUCUUCGUUGCCUGAGGCUGUUGAAGCAUGUAUUGAUGCAGCACGUCAUGAAUUUGAUGUUUCACUGCAAUGGACGCUUUUAAGAGCAGCAAACUUCGGACAAGCCUUUUGCAGCCAUUUUCAACGGGACCGCAUUCAAGAGAUGUGUAAAACCUUACGAGUCCUAAAUGCUGUACGUCACCCAGAUAUUGGAAUCCCUCUCAGUAUUCAGCAGUAUAAGUUGCUUACGCCUGCUGUUCUGAUUGCUCGUCUUAUUAAUGCUCAUCGCCACCUUCUUGCGCUACAAAUAUCAGAAUAUCUUGGCAUGAAUCAGGAAGUUGUAGUCAUGCAUUGGACAUGUACAAAGAUCACAGCAUCGGCGGCAAUCCCUGAUGCCACUCUUCUAGAAAUGUUACUUGAUAAGCUGAAAAUAUGCAAGGGGAUAUCUUAUGCUGCAGUUGCUGCUCAUGCAGAUAAGAAUGGUCGUCGAAAGUUAGCUGCCAUGCUUGUUGAACAUGAGCCACGUUCAUCUAAGCAGGUUCCUCUAUUGCUAAGCAUUGGAGAAGAAGAUACUGCUCUGAUGAAGGCUACUGAAAGUGGUGAUACCGAUCUGGUUUAUCUUGUCCUCUUCCAUAUCUGGCAGAAGAAACCAGCUUUGGAGUUCUUCGGUACAAUACAGGUCAGACCUCUAGCUCGUGAUUUGUUUGUUAAUUAUGCACGGCAUUACAAGCACGAAUUUCUGAAGGACUUUUUCCUAUCUACUGGACAACUUCAGGAUGUAGCUUUCCUAUUAUGGAAAGAAUCAUGGGAAUUGUCUAAAAAUUCAAUGGCUAGCAAAGGAUCUCCACUUCAUGGUCCAAGAAUAAAACUCAUUGAGAAGUCCCAGCACCUUUUUGCAGAAACAAAGGAAUAUGUUUUUGAAUCAAAAGCUGCUGAAGAGCAUGCAAAAUUGUUAAGGAUGCAACAUGAGUUGGAGGUGACUACAAAACAGGCCAUCUUUGUGGAUUCAAGUAUAAGUGAUACAAUUCGUACAUGCAUUGUGCUGGGGAACCAUCGUGCUGCCGCAAAAGUCAAAACAGAAUUUAAGGUUUCGGAAAAGUCGCUGAGGUUCACUAUAAACAAUAAGGCAUCUGCAGAGAUGGCUUAUCCCUACAUGACUGCUAUAGCAUACAUGCUAAUGAAGGGUAAUGGAUAUCUUAUAGUCAUCCCCUUUUCUCCUCUUUUUUCUCUUCUAGGUUACCGCCCAUUUGUCGAGGCAUGUGUUGAUGCAGAUGAGAAAGGUGAAGUGCUAAAGUACAUACCAAAGCUGACUGAUCCUCGCGAAAGAUCAGAGGCUUAUGCUCGAGUUGGAAUGGCCAAGGAAGCUGCCGAUGCUGCUUCUCAGGCUAAAGAUAAUGAAUUACUUGGGAGGUUGAAGCAGACUUUUGCCCAAAAUGCAGCUGCUUCAUCAAUUUUUGACACACUGCGAGACCGGUUAUCCUUCCCAAGUGUUUCUUGAUGCCGGCCAUCUCUUAGCUGGCCUUUGGUGUGAGCCUGUUGUUGUUAUGACUCUUCCAAAUUAACAUUGAUUGAGGAUUGAUAGCGUUGGAGUGAUGCUGUUCCACAGCACGAUAAAAGAAGCCCUUGGAACCCAUCUGCUGCAUGCCCUCUCUCCUUGCCUGUUUUUUCUAUAUAUUUAUAGCGUUUGAGGUUGUGGAAGUGUUUGAAUCCGGCAAAGAUUCCUCAUGUUCUAGAUCCUGUGAAUAGCUUGGCUGGAAACGAUAUAUGAAAGCAUGUGCUGAUGUUUCUCCCUGAAUUGGUAACAGAAUUCGUUUGAGCUCUAACAUUUCCAUGGUAUGCAGUUUCCAUUUCUAUGUGGCUGAGUGAUGUAACAUCCUCUGUGGAUGUUCGAAAAUAAACUGAAUCCACCAGCUCGCUGGUAAUGUUUUGCUUGUUUUUCCAACUCGUUUGGACUCUUUUUUCUAUCCUAUGUACGUCACAGGA
RNA transcript from Nicotiana attenuata, 3061 nucleotides. It is a transcript of the gene named protein VACUOLELESS1-like, with no coding region annotated. The transcript is spliced from 16 exons. NCBI's taxonomy places the organism in Eukaryota, Viridiplantae, Streptophyta, Magnoliopsida, Solanales, Solanaceae. The record is from RefSeq and is a predicted model, not a curated record.